RNAcentral lists this ribosomal RNA (456 nucleotides) under uncultured bacterium. Its description in RNAcentral is "bacterial SSU rRNA". It matches the Rfam family "Bacterial small subunit ribosomal RNA", at positions 340 to 786 of the family's 1533-position model. The record is from RNAcentral.
UACGGAAGGCAGCAGUGGGGAAUAUUGCACAAUGGGCGAAAGCCUGAUGCAGCUAUGCCGCGUGUAUGAAGAAGGCCUUAGGGUUGUAAAGUACUUUUCAUCGGGGAGGAAAAACAAAACUAAUAAUUUUAUUUCUUGACGUUACCCGAAAAAGAAGCACCGGCUAACUCCGUGCCAGCAGCCGCGGUAAUACGGAGGGUGCUAGCGUUAAUCAGAAUUACUGGGCGUAAAGAGCACGUAGGUGGUUUUUUUAAGUCAGAUGUGAAAUCCCUGGGCUUAACCUGGAACUGCAUUUUGAAACUGAAAUACUAGAGUAUCGUAGAGGGAGGUAGAAUUCUAGGUGUAGCGGUGAAAUGCGUAGAUAUCUGGAGGAAUACCUGUGGCGAAAGCGGCCUCCUAAACGAAUACUGACACUGAGGUGCGGAAAGCGUGGGGAGCAAACAGGGAUUAGAUACC